RNAcentral lists this ribosomal RNA (386 nucleotides) under uncultured bacterium. Its description in RNAcentral is "bacterial SSU rRNA". It matches the Rfam family "Bacterial small subunit ribosomal RNA", at positions 362 to 720 of the family's 1533-position model. The record is from RNAcentral.
UAUUGGUCAAUGGACGCAAGUCUGAACCAGCCAUGCCGCGUGAAGGAUGAAGGUCCUCUGGAUUGUAAACUUCUUUUAUAUGGGAAGAAAUCCUCGAAAUCUUUCGGGGUUGACGGUACCAUAGGAAUAAGCACCGGCUAACUCCGUGCCAGCAGCCGCGGUAAUACGGAAGGGUGCAAGCGUUAUCCGGAUUCACUGGGUUUAAAGGGUGCGUAGGAGGGCAGGUAAGUCAGUGGUGAAAUCUCCAAGCUUAACUUGAAACUGCCGUUGAUACUAUCUGUCUUAAUACCGUGGAGAUAGCGGAAUAUGUCAUGAGCGGUAAAUGCUAGUUACAAGACACCAAUUGCGAGGAGCUCGUUCACAAUUAGCUCUGGACAAAACAUCUU